CAAAGUACAGCUAAAAGGUUAGUAUUUCAUUUACAUUGAAGAGAGUUAUCGUGCGAAUCGAUUUACUUUGAA
RNAcentral lists this transfer RNA (72 nucleotides) under Ceylonthelphusa armata. Its description in RNAcentral is "tRNA-Val". Lineage: Eukaryota; Metazoa; Arthropoda; Malacostraca; Decapoda; Parathelphusidae. The record is from RNAcentral.